ACGGGUGAGUAACGCGUGAGAAUCUGGCUCCAGGUCGGGGACAACAGUUGGAAACGACUGCUAAUACCGGAUGUGCCGAGAGGUAAAAGGCUUGCUGCCUGGAGAUGAGCUCGCGUCUGAUUAGCUAGUUGGUGUGGUAAGAGCGCACCAAGGCGACGAUCAGUAGCUGGUCUGAGAGGAUGAUCAGCCACACUGGGACUGAGACACGGCCCAGACUCCUACGGGAGGCAGCAGUGGGGAAUUUUCCGCAAUGGGCGAAAGCCUGACGGAGCAAUACCGCGUGAGGGAGGAAGGCUCUUGGGUUGUAAACCUCUUUUCUCAAGGAAUAAAAAAAUGAAGGUACUUGAGGAAUAAGCAUCGGCUAACUCCGUGCCAGCAGCCGCGGUAAUACGGAGGAUGCAAGCGUUAUCCGGAAUGAUUGGGCGUAAAGGGUCCGCAGGUGGCAAUGUAAGUCUGCUGUCAAAGAAUGAGGCUCAACCUCAUCAAGGCAGUGGAAACUACGUAGCUAGAGUACGGUCGGGGUAGAAGGAAUUCCUGGUGU
Molecule: ribosomal RNA, 541 nt
Filed under: Nostoc sp. ISB49
Lineage: Bacteria; Bacillati; Cyanobacteriota; Cyanophyceae; Nostocales; Nostocaceae
Description: bacterial SSU rRNA
Rfam family: Bacterial small subunit ribosomal RNA
Source: RNAcentral